RNAcentral lists this ribosomal RNA (503 nucleotides) under uncultured bacterium. Its description in RNAcentral is "bacterial SSU rRNA". It matches the Rfam family "Bacterial small subunit ribosomal RNA", at positions 29 to 524 of the family's 1533-position model. The record is from RNAcentral.
AACGAACGCUGGCGGCGCGCCUAAUACAUGCAAGUCGAGCGAGAAGGUGUAGCAAUACACUUGUAAAGCGGCGAACGGGUGAGGAAUGCAUGGGUAACCUACCCUCGAGUGGGGAAUAACUAGCCGAAAGGUUAGCUAAUACCGCAUACGUUUCCGGAACUUCGGUUUCGGAAAGAAAGCAAUACCGUGGGUAUUGCGCUCCUGGAUGGGCUCAUGUCCUAUCAGCUUGUUGGUGAGGUAACGGCUCACCAAGGCUUCGACGGGUAGCUGGUCUGAGAGGACGAUCAGCCACACUGGCACUGCGACACGGGCCAGACUCCUACGGGAGGCAGCAGUAAGGAAUAUUGCGCAAUGGACGAAAGUCUGACGCAGCGACGCCGCGUGGGGGAUGAAGGUCUUCGGGAUUGUAAACCCCUUUCGGGAGGGAAGAUGGAGUGGGUAACCACUUGGACGGUACCUCCAGAAGCAGCCACGGCUAACUUCGUGCCAGCAGCCGCGGUAAU